This 6218-nucleotide long non-coding RNA is filed under the name Jatropha curcas. RNAcentral's name for it is "long non-coding RNA (JCUR_LNC000716)". The record is from RNAcentral. Lineage: Eukaryota; Viridiplantae; Streptophyta; Magnoliopsida; Malpighiales; Euphorbiaceae.
CCUUAUCGACCCAAAGCAUCUCCCUUCAGAGUCACAACUCGCUAACUUCUUCACCAAAUUGUUACCCAUCUCUAGAUUUCGGCUGAUGACUGUCAAGUUGGGCUUGGUUUCGUUACCCCAGCUCCACCUUGAGGGGGGCGUGAAUGAGUAUGAACAGCCUAAGGGCCAACAUCAGUAGUAAAGCAAAAAGGAAGAAUCGAGAAGCUGCCGUUCUAACCAAAAUCAGAAAACCUAAAACUAAAACAUAACAUUUUGUAUUUAUAUUAAACCCACACACCAUACCUGUUUCACUUAACCCGAAUCCGUGUAACAAAUCCAACUAACCCAUUAACCCAUAUUGUACAGCUGUAAUUCUGUUACAUGAGAUAGUAUACAAUACAAUAGGUUCUAGAGUAAGGAAAUACAUCACACUUGUAAAUAUAAAUAGCACCCAUUGUACUGACUUUGAUGAUAGAGGAGAAAUACACAAAUUCUUCAUUUUGUUUACUUUCUGUUCAAUAACCAUCUAACUAAUGCCUGAUUACCCACUAAAAAGAUGUAGAAAAUGAUUUUAAUUGCAUUUGAAUCAAAAUAUAGGAGACUAGCAGCAUGCCUAUGCAUAAUAAAUAUCUUAUCUAUUAUCUUAGAGAUAGUGUAAUAAUAUUUUAAAAUAUAUAAUUUAAAUUAUUGAUAAUUUCAUAUUUGUUAAUUUUGUUGAAAAUUAUUUAAAUUAAAGAACAUCUAUUUCAAAAUCAAAACAUUAGACUAAUUAUAUAAAAAUUAAUGUCUAUAAUAAAAUUGAAAGAAAAUGAAAUAUAUAUUAAAAAUCAUUGACUUUAAUUUAUUUUUGAAUUAAUAAAUUUUCUUAGACGGUAUUAAAAAUAAUGAAAUAAAUAAAAUAAAAUGGACAAUAGAAAUUCAAUCAUAGACGUACAUAUAUCAUUCUUAACGAUAAUUUCGUAUAAACCGUACAUAUAUCAUUCUUAACGAUAAUUUUGUAUAAACUGCUUUUUUUUUUAUUUAUCAAACUUUUCCUAAUUUUAUAGAGUAAUAUAAAUUAGAAAAGGAAACAUAUAUCAAUGUCGAAAAGAAAUUGUAUAAGAAUUAUUGAAAUUAAAAAAAAAAUCUUACCAAACCUCAAAAAGCUCUCUCUAUUUAUAGUAUAGUAAUAAGCAACUAAUGACAAUUCAAUAUAUUAUCAUUAAUUUAAAAGAUAACUCAUAAUACAUAUUAAUAUGAUAAUCAACAUCAAAAUUAUGAUAAUUUUUAAUUAAAAAAUAGGUUAUAAUAUUAUAAUAAUAUUAAUUAUUUAAUACGUAUUAAUAGGAUAAUUAAAUGACAAUUAAAACCAAUAUUAUGUAAUUUUAAUUGAGAAAGAUAGGUUAUAAUAUUAUAAUAAUUAUAAUUAUUUACUAAUAUGUAUUAAUUAUGAUAAUUAAAUGAUAAUUAAUAUCAAUAUUUAUAUAACACUAUAACUAAUAAUUAAAUUUUAUGCAGACACUAUCAAAUUUUAAGAAUUCUAUAUAGUAUUAUAAUCCUACGUGUCAUCACUAAAAAUCUUAUGUUGCGAGAGGAAGUAAGAGCAUUCAUUUAAUAAAUGUCACAUGUCAACUUAUUCGGAAAAAAUACUUGCUAUAUAUAUGUAUAUUGAUUAGGGUUCUGUGGUUACCUACAAUGUAAAAAAAAUUCUUUUUAUUAGGAAUGAGGUUGUUAGAAUGCAAUUAAUGGAGGCUAUAACGGGAAUUUCAGGCCAAUUCCACAUCAGCUACGCAUUACAUGGCAAAAAUCCAAUAAUUUGUCACCAAGUCACUUGUCAUGUCAUUAAACAUGAGCCGUACAUAAGCACAUUAUUUUUUCGAUUUGCCAUAUCAUUCAAAGACUCUUAAUUGCAAACUUUUAUAAAUUCAGACACUUAAUCAUUACUAUUACACCAAAAUAGAUAAAAAGUGAAAGUUUAGACACCAAUAUAAUUAUCCAUGUGAAAAUGAUAUAGAUCAAAACAAAUAAAAGCCUAUCAACGUGUUACUUGUGGUUCCGCUGUUUUAACUGUUAGAUUUUUUUUUUUUUUUUCCAAAACUGAGCCACAUUGACAAAUCAAAUUAUUUUCAAAGCAGAAACCGUAACCAUUCUAAAAACUGAAAAAUUGAGGCAAGUAACCGAAAUUAAUCAAUUUGGUGCAGUUUCCCGAAUUUUUUCCGAAGUUUGCUCGGCCCUGCGAAGUAUGUUGCUAAAUAGGCGAGGCUGGCUUUCAAUUAAUGCACAUAGACCUUUAAAGGCAUGUCUACCAGAGAGACCCAUAAUGUUAAGGGCAGAAAGCUCAAGAUUAGAGCUCAUGUAGGAAAUGACAAAUCAGGCAAAGGCCACUUGGGCCUAGGAACCCAACUGUGUAAAUAUUUUACAAAUUGUAUAUACUAUACAUAAUGUAAAAAUAACAUAAGACUAUAAAUAUUUUAGAAAAUUUAUUUUACUUGGAGGCACUCCACAAACUCGUAUAAACAGUGGGUGAUAAUACUGUAAAUGAUACGGGAAAUCCAAGACAAACCAAACAACUCACGGCCUUGUUAAUUGGCACUAUCCUACCCAUCCGCUUGGCAGCCUCAUAGACGCAAGACCUAAAAGGCCUGGUCUGGUCACUUUUGGAACCAACAGCUUUAUAGCCCAAACUGUACCUUACCUUGUCUCUUCUUACCUUACAUUUAAUAUAGCUUUCCUAACCCCAUCCAAAUGAAGCCUUAUGUGGCUGAAUCCAACACAAGGCGGGCUAAGAAUAACUCCGAUGUGAUUGUGGGUUGUGAUUUAUAUGGUAUAUUAAAUAAAAGAUAUUAAUAGUGAUGUGAUUAUAAAUCUAUUUAUGAAAAAGGACUCCUUAAUAUAUCCUAAUUAGAAUGGAAAUUUACGAUGAUAUGUAUUUAAUUUUUAAAAAUAAAAGAAAAUAAGUUGAGCGUGAGAGAAGAUAGUGGAAAAAGAAAAUAAAAUUAAUAGUAAAAAAAAAGAAUUAAAUAGCUGAGUUACAUUAUCUAACAAAUCUUUUGAAAAUAGAGGGUAAGGUUCACACUGUCUACUUUUUUUUACACAGAAUUGUGGAUUGUAGCUUAUCUAAUUGCCAAAUCAGAAAAAUAGACAGUUGAACAACAAUAUCUUUUCCAAUACUACUGUCUAUUCAAUCUGUAAAGCUGGCAUGUAAAAAAAAAAAAGUAGACACUAUGAACCACUCAGAAAGCCUGUUAAACAAUGUAACUCAGCUAUUUAAUUUUUUUUUACUAUUAAUUUUAUUUUCUUUUUCCACCAUCUUCUUUAACACUAAAACUUCUCACGCUCAACUUAUUUUCUUUUAUUUUCAUCAGAUAUGAUUUUAAAAAAAUAAUACACAUCAUCGUAAAAUCAUAUUUUGAUUAGAAUACACUGGAGAGCCCUUUUUUAAAUUUAAUAUUUACAAAUAGACUUAUAGCCACAUUACUAUUAACAUAUUCAAUUUAAUAUGCCAUAUAAGCCACAUCUCACAAUCACAUUGGAGUUACUCUAAUGCUAUCCAUAGUUCACAUCCACGACUUGCAAUUUAGGAAGUUGAUCACGUAAUGGGUUAAGAGGUUAUUGCUUAAUAAAAUUAUUUAAUAGAUAAGAUAUCUGAAUAAUUUUAAUGAGUGUAUUUUUUUACAUAUUUGAUCUUUUAUAUUUUUUUAUGUCAUAUAUUGUCACGACCCGAUUCUAUGGCCGGACCGGCACUAGGGCCCAGAUAAGCUUAAGGCCCUUGAGGCCCGUAGUAAGCCUGAAACACUAAAAAUUUACUAUCUCGAUAUAAUUUGAAACAUUCAGCCCAUAUGUAUAGAAAAUAAACCUCAAGAUUUAAUUAAAUCUCGGCCCAAAUUUAUCAGCUACAACAUUCCACAGUUCGGGCCCAAUUAACAAUACAUCACAUUUUUAAUAUGGGCUCACAUAAUUAGAUCGUCCAUGUUAAUACACGACUAAUUGUACGCAACUUCUACAACUGCGGAGUCACUAACUGUUUGAUAUACAUAGCUUCUUAUACAUAUAGUUACAUAGCAAAAUAAUUAUGGAACUAGAAAAAUUUCUUUAUAGCCCUGCGGCGAAGAAACAUAGCUUAAACAAAAUUAAAGAGAAACUUACUUUCUGAAAAUUUAAACAAGACAUGUGAGUUUUCUAAGGAGUAAUAAUUAUUGCACAACACACGCANNNNNNNNNNNNNNNNNNNNNNNNNNNNNNNNNNNNNNNNNNNNNNNNNNNNNNNNNNNNNCAGUCACACAAAUGGCAUAUCACCAGCACUCACAAUCAUUAACAUAUUCAUAUAAUCACAUCACGUGAAAAUUGGUCUGUGGCGUCACCGAAACCCCCGAUGAGCCAUCCUCCCACAUGGCCCAUCCUCUCAAAACGUGUACACCAGGGAGCCGAUGCCCCAUACAUGGCCGACCGGUCUAAUCCUCACUUGACCAGCNNNNNNNNNNNNNNNNNNNNNNNNNNNNNNNNNNNNNNNNNNNNNNNNNNNNNNNNNNNNNNCGGUAACGGUAACGGUAACGGUAGGUGCACACGGGGGCGCCGAUCUCCCCAUACAUGGCCGACGGUAGACCAUCCUCACAUUCCCAUGGUGACCCACUUCAUCCCAAUUCAACACAUACAAUGCAUAGCAUUAUCACAAUACAAUUAAUCAAGCAUUGCAAUUAAAUGCAAGCAUGUUAAUCAAUUAAACUUCGUAAUGCAAUGCACAAUUUAGACAUCCAAAAUCAAAUGCAAAUAAAUAAAUAAAUAACAGUAACAAUAAACAACAAUAAUAAAAUAAAUAAUAAUAAUAAACAAUAAUAAUGAAAAUAAAUAAAUAAAUGAUGGAAUAAUUAAAUGGUUAAUAAUGAUAAUAAAUAAUUAAUUAGAGCACUUUAUUUAUUAUGUAUCAAAUUAUAGAAUUAAUCUAGGUUCUAUCGAAAUUUCGGCAGAACAUCCCCUAGAAAUAUGACUAUCUACCUAUUUAAAUAUCACAAUAAAAUUAUAUAUUUAUCAAUCAAUACACACAGCCCAUCCGUCGGGCAACUCACAACACCCCACCCCGUCCGCCAUAACCUUAUUUAUCAAUCAUUCGAUUACUCAAUUCACACAGCCCAUUCAUCGGGCAGUCAAUUGAAUCAACCCAUUCGCUUCAGGCUACAUUGUCAUCCAUCACACUCACAUUUAUACACUUAAUAAUUCCAAAUCAAUUAAUUAACAGUUUAUAUUAACCUCCAAGCAUGAUCCAAUGAUAUUAUUAAUUGCUCUAUAAUUAUUUACUUGUCUAAGCCUUAAAUUAUAACUCUCCCCUAUCAAUAUUUAUUAAAAUUCCUAAAUUAGCUUACAUCAAUAUUAUACUGACUGAUUCUUAGCAAAAUUAUAUUUGAUUGAUUAUUCAUUCAAAUUCAAUUUAAUUAACUAAUAAUUAUUAAUUUAUAAUUUAUACCGAAAAUGAGGAAAUUGGUCUUAGAACGUACCAAUUGAGAAUCAGGCUACGAUUCCAUGAUCAGCGCGAAGAGAAGAGAAUUCUGUCUCUCGGGGCCUCGCCGGAGUUUCGCCGGUCGGUCGCCAGACCGCCGCCACCAGCCGCCGUGCACGGUGGCCGGAAAGUCGUUAUUGCCCAGAAUCACGCACUUCAUACACCUUUAGAAUCAAAAUUUCACCAAGAACUCAAAUCCAUGCUCCAAUUGUUGAGUCUAUGGUCCGUUUGGCCCAAACCAACGCCGACCGAAGCUUAAUGCCGCCAUCAAUGGUGGUUUCACCACCGGAGCCCAAUCGUCAGAACCAAGGGAUGGAAAACACGCGCAAGACCAAGAGGAGUCGAUCGAAGGUCCUCUCGUCGGCUGUAUCUGCCCGAAACGGCGAGAAUCGCCGGAGAAGAGAAAUCGGAGGGCAGCGUCACUUCGAGCAUGAUUCCUUUCGUUUCCGGCUUCUACUGCGUGAACGGAGACCAUAGGUGGGUUCCUAUCGUCGAGCACUUGCAGUUAGGGUGCUUGGUUGUCGGAAUCUGUGGCUGAUGGCCGGAAAACGCAGUGAAUAAGGGAGGAGGAGGCUAUCGCGUGACUGGAGAAGAACAAGGAGAAGAGAGGAAGAUAAAGAAACCAAGUCGGUUUCUAGAUCAUUCUGGUUCGAUUCGAGCCGGUUUGAUCUGAUUCAACGGUUUGGCUUGAUUUUUGCUCUAUUUGCAGGUUUUUCACUUGGUUUUCGGAUUAUUCAUGUGGUUUUCGAAAAAUCAAUUUGAGUUUCGG